CACUUACAGACAGGAAGAUAUCAUAGGCAUAUCUCCACAGAAGAUGGAACUUAGCAGCAGUGUGGUGAGAUCUUGAAAUACCACCAGCAGCAGAGUGGAGAAUAAAAAAACAAAUAGUCAAAGUUAAAAUAUUAAAAAACAAAAUCCAUGAAAGUCCAUAUAUUGUAGUUAAAUCCAACGCGUUUCGUCCAAUCAAUAGAGGCCUCCUCAGGAAUCUAUGGGAAUGCAUUGUAAUGGGGACUUCUUAUAGUGCUGGUAACCCUUGUGGAUCCAUUUCACAUGAUAGUUGGCGUGCGUUCCAUUUCGGAACGCAAUGACGUACAUCCUGUCUGACCAAGGCAAUUAGCGUGGUCGUUCAUAUGAAUGUAGCAUUCGAAUGAAUACAGAGGCAGCACGUGCGCAUGCUACUGAAAACGCAUAGGCGCGCGUAAAAGGUAAAACCACAGGAAAUCUGAAGGGAAAAUAAGACCGAAUAGGCGAACAGUCGCCUUAAACACAAUAACAAAAUCUAAGUGGUGUAUGAACAUCAAAAAGAACAGCAGACCUAACUAGUAUACUGUGCUGUGUGUAAACGACUAAGGGAAUGGAAACA
This is a non-coding RNA of Pelobates cultripes (western spadefoot toad), 592 nucleotides long. Lineage: Eukaryota; Metazoa; Chordata; Amphibia; Anura; Pelobatidae. The record is from the annotation of a GenBank genome assembly.